CCUACGGGAGGCUGCAGUGAGGAAUAUUGGUCAAUGGUCGGGAGACUGAACCAGCCAAGCCGCGUGAGGGAUGAAGGUACAGAGUAUCGUAAACCUCUUUUGUCAGGGAACAAAGGCGGGUACGUGUCCCCGGAUGAGUGUACCUGACGAACAAGCAUCGGCUAACUCCGUGCCAGCAGCCGCGGUAAUACGGAGGAUGCGAGCGUUAUCCGGAUUUAUGGGGUUUAAAGGGUGCGCAGGCGGUCUGUUCAGUCAGCGGUCAAAGUCCGGGGCUCAACCCCGGCCCGCCGUUGAAACUGGCAGUCUCGAGUUGGAGAGAAGUAUGCGGAAUGCGCGGUGUAGCGGUGAAAUGCAUAGAUAUCGCGCAGAACUCCGAUUGCGAAGGCAGCAUGCCGGCUCCAAACUGACGCUGAGGCACGAAAGCGUGGGUAUCGAACAGGAUUAGAUACCCUGGUAGUC
RNAcentral lists this ribosomal RNA (459 nucleotides) under uncultured bacterium. Its description in RNAcentral is "partial 16S ribosomal RNA". It matches the Rfam family "Bacterial small subunit ribosomal RNA", at positions 338 to 795 of the family's 1533-position model. The record is from RNAcentral.